UUGAACACACUCGCAAAAUGUUCUGGCAAUUUUCUUUACUUCCUAAUUCACAGAAGGACUCCAACCCACGAUUUGAACAAUACUCUUUUAAAUGUUUCCAGCGUACAUUUGGGACUCAGGAAAACAUUUCUCAGAUUUAUCAGCAGGAUAAAAAGGACUAUUUUCCUCUUUUUCAGUUCUCUGCCUGUUCUGCAUUCAGUUUUUGCUGGAGGUUUACUGCUUCUGGUAUCUUUUCCUAGAAAAAAAAGAUAAUCUCCAUUUCACUUUGCUAGAUUAUGAUGACCUGACCCUUUUGUUUCUAUUGUUGCCAGCUUCAAAUAACAAGGACAGCAAGGACAAUAGCAGCCUCCACCAUUUAUGGAGCCCUUACUCCAUGGCAGGCUGAGAACUUGACCUACAUUAUCUCAUUUAAUCCUCACAGGGAAGACAUGACCUUUAAGGUGGGUACUAGUUGCACAUUCCAAAUCCAAAAAUUCAAAAUCAAAAAUUCUCUGAAAUCUGAAAUUGUUUGAGAGCCACAUGGUGGAUUUUGAAUCUUCAGACUUGGGAUGCUCAACCAGUAAAGUCUAUGGAAAUAUUCCAAACCUGAAAAUGCAUUAUCAUACGUCCUAGAUUCUAACACACAUAAUUUUUACACUCUUUAUACCUGUGAUAUGAGAAUACGCUUAGUCAUCCCAUUUGGUUAUUUUUUUCACAUUAGAAAACCUCUGUAAUAGGUCUUAAGGUAGAUGUAGUCUCAGAAUCUAUGAAAUAAUGGUAUUUUCAUUAUUUUACAGAAUUUUCAAAAAAUGGAGUUCAGUGAAAUUAGAAUUAAUAUCCACUUCUGUCCAAACCCAAAACUUUUAAGCCCCAUAUGCUAUCUCCACAAGUUCCAGUUUACCUAACAUUUAUGUUUUUUGCUAAGUUUAAAUUUUCCCUAAGCUAUUACUCAGUUUUCCUGAAUCUUUGGCCUUUAUCAUCAUACAUAAUAUGCCCAGCGAGAGGCUCAACCUAGACCCUGGUUCAGGGGCUACAGGCGUAAUCCAAGAAAAUUAAUAAGACUCUUUGUGACAUGAUAUAGAAGGAGGCCCAGGUUGUGGGAGCAGAUGGGCCUGCUCUUGUUCACACCUGCCCAGAGGAAGGAACUCCUAGUUUUUCUAGUUUGCAUUAAGGUUGCUGUGGACAUGCAGCAUCUCUGGUAGGAUUCAGUGUCCAUAUGGGUUUCAGAUAUCGCUUUUUUAUCAUUUGGAGAACAGCAGUGAAGGUGUGUCUUCAGGUUCCUUACGGUUCCAACUGGAUGGGUUCACAGAUGCUUCAGAAAAUGCAAAAGAAUUCAAAGUGUGAACUUAGAUGAGGUUUAGUAAAAUUAGAUGUAACCAAGUAUUUAUGCUUAAGUACCGUAACCGGCACAAAUAAAGUCUAGAGAAAGCCUGAUUAAGGGUAGGCAUAGAUGUCAUCAGAGACCAAGAGAUAAAAGUGUAUUACUAUAAAGUAAAAAAAAAAAAAAAUUAAAUAAUAAUAAUAUCUCAAAAGUAAGAAAUGCGCAAGCCAAACUUCUCCCUUCUGUGCCCAGCAAUUCCAGGCACACACUGCACGCGUUUCCUAGGUAACUCCUGCUCUCCACAAGAAGAGAGAUGAUUCGGUGGAAAGCAGCUAAAGUGAUGAUUAAGAUGUUACAAGUAGAUUUUUGCUUCAUUAAGUGAUUCACCACCGAUUUAUUUUAAAUAUAAACCCAGUUUGUGUAUUAGAGUAUUUAGUUUGAUGUUUAAAUUACAUUUAUUAAAAAUUUUCAAUUAAUUUGCAUCCAGUUUGCAUAGGCCAGGAUGUUUGCCUAUAAGCAUAAAAAGUAAUUUAUUGCCUCAUGUAACUGAGAAGUCUAAGGAGUAAAACAGGCUUUGAAUACGUUCUCUCUCCUUCUCCUCUCCUUUUCUCUCUCCAUAUCUUAGUUCUGCUUAACUAAGCUGUCUGAUGGCCUCUCCCCAUUAAGUAGCAAGGUACCCCUGGAGGCUCCAGUGUACAUGGUCUGUAGAAUAGUUCUAAGAAAUGAUCUUUCCCAACAACAUUGGUCAAAGUCUCUGCAGGGAGGAACCAUCUACCUGGCUUCUGUUGUGGGCCCUCUCUGAACAUCCUCCCUGCCUCUGGGUGCUCGGAGCAUUCUGAUUGACUGGCCUAGGUCGUGUGCCACUCCUCUGGUGAGCGCCUAGCCCAUCGGCACUAUUACAGACACUGAGCAGGGUUACUAAGGAAUGAAAGAGCCAUCCUUCUUCAAAGGAAGAAAUGCUGGGCAUACAAAAAUCAUGUUCACUAUAAAUGUAACAGAAAUCGGUGGCCUGGAACAAGAGACAUCUGUAAAAGAAUGGAUAAUUCCUAUUAGGAAAGGUAACAGACUUAUUUGUCCAGGAAAAAAAAAAACAAGAAGACUAUGAAUAGGAAAAAUUUAAAACUUGUUUUAAGUGCAGGUGCUUCUGCUAUAAUGUAUACAAAUA
Non-coding RNA from Ictidomys tridecemlineatus (thirteen-lined ground squirrel), 2465 nucleotides. The record is from RefSeq and is a predicted model, not a curated record. Lineage: Eukaryota; Metazoa; Chordata; Mammalia; Rodentia; Sciuridae.